AAGACUGUACUUUCAGGGAUCACUUCUAUAAUUUGUUACUAGAGAAGUUUCUCUGAACAUGUAGAGCACCUGAAACUAUGAGGAGAUGAAGUGUUCCCUCCUGAGUGUGAAGUUGGCUCUUGGUGAUGCUUCAUAACUUCCAUAUGCCAUUGAUGAUUGUUCUUCUCUUCCUUUUGAGAGAGUAAGAGGGAGAGAACACCAUCUGAGUGGU
Molecule: small nucleolar RNA, 211 nt
Organism: Phyllostomus hastatus (greater spear-nosed bat)
Lineage: Eukaryota; Metazoa; Chordata; Mammalia; Chiroptera; Phyllostomidae
Product: small nucleolar RNA U3
Exons: 1
Source: RefSeq, a predicted model, not a curated record